CAGUCGCCGCGGUAAUACGAAGGGUGCAAGCGUUACUCGGAAUUACUGGGCGUAAAGCGUGCGUAGGUGGUUGUUUAAGUCUGCUGUGAAAGCCCUGGGCUCAACCUGGGAAUUGCAGUGGAUACUGGGCAACUAGAGUAAGGUAGAGGAUAGUGGAAUUUCCGGUGUAGCAGUGAAAUGCGUAGAGAUCGGGAGGAACAUCAGUGGCGAAGGCGGCCAUCUGGGACAACACUGACGCUGAGGCACGAAAGCGUGGGGAGCAAACAGGAUUAGAUACCCCCGUAGUCCCUGUCUCUUAUAC
This 301-nucleotide ribosomal RNA is filed under the name uncultured bacterium. RNAcentral's name for it is "partial 16S ribosomal RNA". It matches the Rfam family "Bacterial small subunit ribosomal RNA", at positions 509 to 807 of the family's 1533-position model. The record is from RNAcentral.